AUAUCCUCUGGAUACAAUCGAUCGCAUCCACAUCACGGGACGCUCUCCGUAUUUGUACUGCAUUUCGCUGAAUUAAUUAGUCAACUUACAGGUAGACCUGGAGAACACACGCGCCAAUUACCUGCCGUCAAGCCGGGACUUUUAACCAUGUCGUGAUUACCAGGAAUGGAUUCCCUAAGUCUUCUUCGUCUCGGCUAUAUUUGGGUUGCUCUGUCAACUUUUCAAAUUUUUACCGCCAACGCUAGCAACGACACAGCGACUCCACCGGAGGACAAGCCGUUUUUAGAGAGCGAUGCCUUCAUCGGGCUGGCGAUCGGCGUGGGAGCGGUGGGAGGGACCCUUAUACUGUGCUGCAUUUUAUGGAAAUGUUUUUGCGCUGACGUCGAUAAAUGAGGGUACCGAUGCGAAUUUUUUCCCCGUCUAUACAAAGGGAAACAACCCACAUUUGUAAUAAAGCAUGGACAUUGGUAACCAUUUGCUAUCUUUUUUGUACUGCUGAAGACAAUCUGUGAUGUGGCGUAUUGUGUGUGUGGCUUGCACGACUCGUGGAUUUUGUUUCCAGAUUGACCAAUUUCCUGUGUUUUGAAAUAUAUCACUCUCCUCUGUAGAAAUGUCAAGGUUCUGUUUCAGUCCAACUGAAUUUUUUUUUUAAAUUUAUGUAUUUAUUUAUUUUUACGAUUUUCAUCUCACUGUAAUGAAUAUUUAUUUUAUAUUAGAUAUAAUAAUUUGUUUUGUCUUUUUCAAAGAAUUCAAUUACACGAAACCAAACGACUCAAUUAUCAGCAAAAUUAUGAGAAAAUAUCUACAUGUCCAAUUCCAAUGUUUUUGUCUUUGGUAUUUUAUCUUUGCAUAUUGUAGUGAUAGUCAUUACCCCAUGGAUGUGCUGCAGCUGUAAACAGUGUGCGUAUGAAUUUUAAUAAAUAUCGAAUAACGAUUGCGAAUUCCGAAUUCCGACAGAAUAGAUUUUCAUUUCUUAAAUAAAACAGGUAUUUAGAUGUUUAAAAAACCCAAUAUUUAUUAGUUAUUAUUUGUGUCGAAAACAUUUAGAAAAGUUUAAUUUUUGAAAAUUGGCAACUCCUGUAAUGUAAUUUUAAUGAAUGAUAGCAUUGAUGUUGGACCAGUUGAAAGCUAUUUUCGUUUAAGCGGUAUUUUGAUGAAGACAAUUAACUUAGAUACAAUAUCCUGAUGUUUUGGAAGGGGUUGUGAACUAGUUUAAAAACCAACACGGUUGACAUAGAAAGAAUCUGAAAUGAAUUAUUUACGAUCUAUCAAUACACAUUUAUAAUGAAAAAGAAUAAUUCUGCAAAUGGACUUUCAGUUUGCCUGAAACACUAUAAUAUAAAUACUUUGUUUGAAAAGGAACAGUCGCAUUGUGAUAGCAUACCAGGUACAUGCACAUGUAUGUAGGUGAAACAUGUAUGCCGCUGGCGGCAACCUGAAUUGUACAAUAAUAUUGUAAUAUUACUCGCUUUUACGGAUAUUUCUAUCGAUGUGUGCAAGCAGUACCGAUUUCCUCUAACUUUGUUUUUAAUGCAGUGCUUGAGCCGCUACAUGUACACAAUGUUUGGGAUGUAGGGCUGUGGAUUCUAUUUUCAGUUAGAAUUAACUUUAUUUGUGUCAUUUUCCGACAAACAAUAGCGAAUCAUUUUGGGAUGAAUUGAAUACUUACAAUUGAUUCCCUUCGUAUGUCAUUGAUUUCUAUUCCUAUUUUUAUAUUUAUUUGUUGUCAUUAAAAAUAAAUUUGAAAAACAAAUAA
Long non-coding RNA from Ostrea edulis (European flat oyster), 1756 nucleotides. RefSeq lists it as uncharacterized. The transcript has 3 exons. The record is from RefSeq and is a predicted model, not a curated record. NCBI's taxonomy places the organism in Eukaryota, Metazoa, Mollusca, Bivalvia, Ostreida, Ostreidae.